UGAAUACGAGACGCUAAGGCGUCGAAGUAGUGUAUGUCAUACUUCCAAGAAAAGCUUGCACUGUCAUAGAUAAAAAACGCCUGUACCAUAACCGACACAGGUGGGUAGGUAGAGUAUACUAAGGGGCGCGAGAUAACUCUCUCUAAGGAACUCGGCAAAAUAACUCCGUAACUUCGGGAGAAGGAGUGCCUUAUUCGUAAGGUUGCAAUAACAAGAUCCAAGCAACUGUUUAUCAAAAACACAGGUCUCCGCUAAGUCGUAAGACGAUGUAUGGGGGCUGACGCCUGCCCAGUGCCAGAAGGUUAAAGAAGUUGGUUAGCAAUUGCGAAGCUGAUAACUGAAGCCCUGGUGAACGGCGGCCGUAACAAUAACGGACCUAAGGUAGCGAAAUUCCUUGUCGGGUAAGUUCCGACCCGCACGAAAGGCGUAAUGAUUUGGAUACUGUCUCGGAGAGGGGCUCGGUGAAAUAGACUUGUCUGUGAAGAUGCGGACUACCUGCACCAGGACAGAAAGACCCUAUGAAGCUUUACUGUAACUUGAAAUUGAAAUUGGACUUUAUUCGCGCAGUAUAGGUGGGAGGCGUUGAUUAUAAUCUUGUGGGAUUAUUGGAGCCAUCAGUGAGAUACCACUCUUGUAAUGUUAGAUUUCUAACUUUGAAUCAUUAUCUGGUCAAAGAACAGUUUCAGGCGGGCAGUUUGACUGGGGCGGUCGCCUCCUAAACGGUAACGGAGGCGUACAAAGGUUUCCUCUGAACGGUUAGAAAUCGUAUCUAGAGUGUAAAGGCAUAAGGAAGCUUGACUGUGAGACCUACAAGUCGAGCAGGGACGAAAGUCGGUCUUAGUGAUCUGACGGUACUGAGUGGAAAGGCCGUCACUCAACGGAUAAAAGUUACUAGGAUAACAGGCUGAUCUCCCCCAAGAGUUCACAUCGACGGGGAGGUUUGGCACCUCGAUGUCGGCUCAUCGCAUCCUGGGGCGGUAGUACGUCCCAAGGGUUGGGCUGUUCGCCCAUGAAAGCGGUACGCGAGCUGGGUUCAGAACGUCGUGAGACAGUUCGGUCCAUAUCCGGUGUAGGCGUUAGAAUAUUGAGAGGAGCCUUCUUUAGUACGAGAGGACCGAGAAGGACAUACCUCUGGUGUACCAGUUAUCGUGCCAACGGUAAACGCUGGGUAGCUAUGUAUGGAGUGGAUAACCGCUGAAAGCAUCUAAGUGGGAAGCCCACCUCAAGAUAAG
Molecule: ribosomal RNA, 1232 nt
Filed under: metagenome
Description: bacterial LSU rRNA
Rfam family: Bacterial large subunit ribosomal RNA
Source: RNAcentral